This is a long non-coding RNA of Empidonax traillii (willow flycatcher), 643 nucleotides long. RefSeq lists it as uncharacterized. NCBI's taxonomy places the organism in Eukaryota, Metazoa, Chordata, Aves, Passeriformes, Tyrannidae. The transcript has 3 exons. The record is from RefSeq and is a predicted model, not a curated record.
GGGAGGAGGUGCCACAAUGAGCACAUCAAGUGUUUUCUCUAAGUUACUCUUCUUCAAGUCAGGCUGAAAAAUGAACCCUGGGUAUAAAGAUGCCAUGGGAAGCUCUUAAUCUUAGGAAAAAAGAGCCUGAGGACAUUCUGAUGCUUCUGCAUGAAGACAGAAAGCAGUCCACAGUGCCAAGAUAAAGCUGAGGCUUCGAGAGGCCACGGGCAUUUUAUUUAACACCAUGAACCCGACUGUGGCACCUCCAGCUUGGAUCCCCACUGCUCACUGCUCCACACAGCCAGCAACACACUGCAAGGGAUCCAAUUCCUGUACAGCUUCCCUGGGGCAGCACAGCCUUCCAGAGAUCAGGGCAACCAGGGGGAUCUGCCUGAGGAGGCAAGUUCACAUCACUCACUGCCCAGCAAACUGUCUCUGUAUCAGCUAAAGACAACUCAAAGGCAAGUCUGCAGAAGCAGGUUAAACAUCACUGUAUGAUAUCAAGCACUGGCUUCUACAAUUUCAUAUUUUUAAGAUCAGAUAAAAAAGGAAAGAAAGGGUUUUUUUCCCUGCACAUCUCUUUAUAGACUUUCCAACAGCUUACACACAAAGCAUUUAGACACUUUAAUUUCCACUCCAAUAUGAAUACUCUAACCCCAAA